AUACGUAGGGUGCGAGCGUUGUCCGGAAUUACUGGGCGUAAAGAGCUCGUAGGUGGUUUGUCGCGUCGUCUGUGAAAUUCCGGGGCUUAACUCCGGGCGUGCAGGCGAUACGGGCAUAACUUGAGUACUGUAGGGGAGACUGGAAUUCCUGGUGUAGCGGUGAAAUGCGCAGAUAUCAGGGGGAACACCGGUGGCGAAGGCGGGUCUCUGGGCAGUAACUGACGCUGAGGAGCGAAAGCAUGGGUAGCGAACAGGAUUAGAUACCCUGGUAGUCCAUGCCGUAAACGGUGGGCGCUAGGUGUAGGGGUCUUCCACGACUUCUGUGCCGUAGCUAACGCAUUAAGCGCCCCGCCUGGGGAGUACGGCCGCAAGGCUGAAACUCAAAUGAAUUGACGGGG
This 398-nucleotide ribosomal RNA is filed under the name uncultured bacterium. Its description in RNAcentral is "partial 16S ribosomal RNA". It matches the Rfam family "Bacterial small subunit ribosomal RNA", at positions 523 to 918 of the family's 1533-position model. The record is from RNAcentral.